RNAcentral lists this small RNA (27 nucleotides) under Bombyx mori (domestic silkworm). RNAcentral's name for it is "ovarian small RNA-6112". Lineage: Eukaryota; Metazoa; Arthropoda; Insecta; Lepidoptera; Bombycidae. The record is from RNAcentral.
UACGAUUAUGACGUACGUGUCUUUGUA